GGGGAAUAUUGCGCAAUGGGGGGAACCCUGACGCAGCAACGCCGCGUGAAGGAAGAGGGCCUUCGGGUUGUAAACUUCUUUGAUCAGGGACGAAGGAAAUGACUGUACCUGAAGAACAAGCCACGGCUAACUACGUGCCAGCAGCCGCGGUAAUACGUAGGUGGCAAGCGUUGUCCGGAAUUACUGGGUGUAAAGGGCGUGUAGGCGGGGAGGUAAGUCAGAUGUGAAAUUCCAGGGCUCAACCCUGGAGCUGCAUCUGAAACUAUCUUUCUUGAGUGCUGGAGAGGAAAGCGGAGUUCCUAGUGUAGCGGUGAAAUGCGUAGAUAUUAGGAGGAACACCAGUGGCGAAGGCGGCUUUCUGGACAGUAACUGACGCUGAGGCGCGAAAGCGUGGGGAGCAAAC
RNAcentral lists this ribosomal RNA (403 nucleotides) under uncultured bacterium. RNAcentral describes it as "bacterial SSU rRNA". It matches the Rfam family "Bacterial small subunit ribosomal RNA", at positions 356 to 773 of the family's 1533-position model. The record is from RNAcentral.